GAUUUCUGGGUGACUGUGCUAGCCCGCUCCUUUCCGGGAGUGUGUGCCGGCAUACGUCAUUCAUCCUUCUAGAAGGCCUUGCCUGCCGUUCAUUCGGCUGGGCAUGUGCGGUCUAGAUCUUUUACUUUGAAUAAAUUAGAGUGUUUAAAGCAGGCUUACGCUAUGAAUACAUUAGCAUGGAAUAAUAAUAUAGGACUUUGGUUCUAUUUUGUUGGUUUCUAGGACUAGAGUAAUGAUUGAUAGGGAUAGUUGGGGGUGCUAGUAUUCAGCGGCCAGAGGUGAAAUUCUCGGAUUCGCUGAAGACUAACUUAUGCGAAAGCAUU
RNAcentral lists this ribosomal RNA (323 nucleotides) under uncultured Euglyphida. Its description in RNAcentral is "SSU rRNA". The stretch from base 103 to 323 matches the Rfam family "Eukaryotic small subunit ribosomal RNA", at positions 733 to 955 of the family's 1831-position model. The record is from RNAcentral. Lineage: Eukaryota; Cercozoa; Imbricatea; Euglyphida.